Molecule: transfer RNA, 74 nt
Filed under: Stenotrophomonas phage Moby
Lineage: Duplodnaviria; Heunggongvirae; Uroviricota; Caudoviricetes
Also listed under: 1 other name
Description: tRNA-Met
Rfam family: tRNA
About the family: Transfer RNA (tRNA) molecules are approximately 80 nucleotides in length.
Source: RNAcentral
UGCGCGAUAGUGAAAUGGCAUCACGUGGGUCUCAUAAGCCCAAAUUCCGGGUUCAAGUCCCGGUUGCGCAACCA